This 451-nucleotide ribosomal RNA is filed under the name uncultured bacterium. Its description in RNAcentral is "partial 16S ribosomal RNA". It matches the Rfam family "Bacterial small subunit ribosomal RNA", at positions 29 to 523 of the family's 1533-position model. The record is from RNAcentral.
AACGAACGCUGGCGGCAGGCUUAACACAUGCAAGUCGAACGGGUGUAGCAAUACAUCAGUGGCAGACGGGUGAGUAACACGUGGGAACCUUCCUAGGGGUACGGAACAACUCAGGGAAACUUGAGCUAAUACUGUAUACGUCCGUGAGGAGAAAGAUUUAUCGCCCUUAGACGGGCCCGCGUCGGAUUAGCUAGUUGGUGGGGUAACGGCCUACCAAGGCGACGAUCCGUAGCUGAUCUUAGAGGAUGAUCAGCCACACUGGGACUGAGACACGGCCCAGACUCCUACGGGAGGCAGCAGUGGGGAAUCUUGGACAAUGGGCGCAAGCCUGAUCCAGCCAUGCCGCGUGAGUGAAGAAGGUCUUCGGAUUGUAAAGCUUUUUUGCCAGGGACGAUAAUGACGGUACCUGGAGAAUAAGCCCCGGCAAACUUCGUGCCAGCCGCCGCGGUAA